GCGGAAGUGGCGGAAUGGCAGACGCACCAGCUUGAGGGGCUGGCGGGGGCAACCCCGUGGAGGUUCGAGUCCUCUCUUCCGCACCA
This 86-nucleotide transfer RNA is filed under the name Acidobacteriota bacterium. Its description in RNAcentral is "tRNA-Leu". It matches the Rfam family "tRNA". Rfam says of the family: Transfer RNA (tRNA) molecules are approximately 80 nucleotides in length. Their secondary structure includes four short double-helical elements and three loops (D, anti-codon, and T loops). Lineage: Bacteria; Pseudomonadati; Acidobacteriota. RNAcentral also lists the same sequence under 2 other names. The record is from RNAcentral.